UCACAUUCUCGGCCAUUUAUACAGAAUACACCAUACCAAAUGCUACAUCAGCUUAAGACACUUUUAAAAAUUAGUAUUAAAAAGAUACAAAGGCAUGUUGGCUUUCAUUUGGGUUUUUAUUAAGACAUGGAAGUUUUCUUGGUUUGUUUUCCUACAGAAGUCACUAAAAAAAUAUAAUAACUUAAUUCAUAAGGACAAGAUUGGUUAAAAAUCCAGCCUUCCUUGCUUGGCAGCCUUCUGAGCUCGUACCUCUGUUGCUUCCAUGAGUCUAACAGCACCGCAGGCUGCAGAUGUGUCCUGCAGGGUCUCAGCCUGCACUCCAGAUCUGGCCAUGCUCUCAGUUACUGUUCAGAGUAUUCACCGCAGCCAGGAAAUAUUCCCAGCCCAACGCUAAAAGCGACCUUCAGCCAAACAGGGGGUUUCAAUCUGGGCCAAUUUCACAUGGAUUUAGCCCUUUGUCUUUUGCUUCUUUGUACAUCCUUUGGAAGUCUUUAAAUCGAGGGGCACAGCCUAACCUGGCUUCCCCAAAGUGCAUGCGUCCCGUGAAGAGGAAGUCUCCAUCUCCUGGUCUCACCCCACACUCCAGCAGGGUCUUUAUUUGUCCUCGCCAGUUCCCACUCUCCCCCGUGAGCUGAAAGACUUUGCUCUUCUGCCUGUACAGUUUGUUGACGCCAACGUGAAUUAUGGAUUCUUGCUCUUCUGCCUCAUUUGUUACAUCUUGAAUGGAGCCUCUGAUCACGAAAUCACUAGUGCAGACGGCCAAGAGGACCUCUGUGUCACUGCAUGGUCGGCAUGGAGCAGAAACUGUGUGCAAAUCAGAUGCAAUCCCCCUGCUCAUCAGUUCGUACUGGAAGCCUGUGAUCUUCCUGCUAAUGUCCUGCUGGGGGGUGGCCUCGACAAACAGCCCCCCCUGGUCGUAGCCAAAGCAGUACACCUUGCUGGGGCUGCGCUCUCCAUCUCGGACCAAGAGUUUGAGUUCUCCAGUUUUUUCCAAAUAAAUAUUUGCUCCUGCAGAGUCCUUGAAGGGCUUUAUGCAAACAGUCAAAUGUUUGUAGGAGGCAGGUGAAGUGUUGGGUCGCAGGUUGACUAUGAGCGCUCCCGUGGGAUACAUCCACUCUAUGGAGCCUUCGGAACAGCGGAGGUAGACCUGUUCAACAUCCUUCUUGUGAGACUCGUGAGUUAAGCCACUCCCCUUCCAGUUGCACAGGUCGCUGGAGUACUGCGCCUCGGCGCCGCCGCCCAGCAGCAGCCGCAGCCCCAGGAGCAGCGGCAGGAGCCCGGCGGCCGGGGCGCUCCGCAUGGUCCCCCCGCCGCGACCCCCGGCCCAGGGCCGAACGCUGCGCGGGAGCGGUGCGGAGCGAUGCGCGCAGCCCCCGUGGGCUCGCCUACAUGGCGGGCAGCGCAGAGCGGAACGGAGCGGUUACCCCAUGCCCGGCUCCACGCUGCGCCGCUUCGGCUCCGCUCUGAAGUUUGCAGCAGCUCGGCUGCGAGCUCCCAGCUGAGGGGCGGGAGCGGGCCGGC
Molecule: long non-coding RNA, 1521 nt
Filed under: Gallus gallus (chicken)
Lineage: Eukaryota; Metazoa; Chordata; Aves; Galliformes; Phasianidae
Source: RNAcentral